RNAcentral lists this ribosomal RNA (587 nucleotides) under uncultured Actinomycetes bacterium. RNAcentral describes it as "bacterial SSU rRNA". It matches the Rfam family "Bacterial small subunit ribosomal RNA", at positions 312 to 916 of the family's 1533-position model. The record is from RNAcentral. Lineage: Bacteria; Bacillati; Actinomycetota; Actinomycetes.
ACGAAAUCUGCAGUCGACGAUUCCUACGGGAGGCAGCAGGAGGGAAUAUUGCGCAAUGGGCGAAAGCCUGACGCAGCAACGCCGCGUGAGGGAUGACGGCCUUCGGGUUGUAAACCUCUUUCAGUGGGGACGAAAUUGACGGUACCCACAGAAGAAGCACCGGCCAACUACGUGCCAGCAGCCGCGGUAAUACGUAGGGUGCAAGCAUUGUCCGGAUUUAUUGGGCGUAAAGAGCUCGUAGGCGGCUUAACAAGUCGGUCGUGAAAUACCGAGGCUCAACCUCGGGGAGUCGGUCGAAACUGUUAUGGCUAGAGUACGGUAGAGGAGAGUGGAAUUCCCGGUGUAGCGGUGGAAUGCGCAGAUAUCGGGAGGAACACCAGUAGCGAAGGCGGCUCUCUGGGCCGUUACUGACGCUGAGGAGCGAAAGCGUGGGGAGCAAACAGGAUUAGAUACCCUGGUAGUCCACGCUGUAAACGUUGGGAACUAGGUGUUGCGGUCUGAUCAAUGACUGCGGUGCCGAAGCUAACGCAUUAAGUUCCCCGCCUGGGGAGUACGGCCGCAAGGCUAAAACUCAAAGGAAUUGACGG